RNAcentral lists this ribosomal RNA (483 nucleotides) under uncultured bacterium. Its description in RNAcentral is "partial 16S ribosomal RNA". It matches the Rfam family "Bacterial small subunit ribosomal RNA", at positions 28 to 507 of the family's 1533-position model. The record is from RNAcentral.
GACGAACGCUGGCGGCGUGCUUAACACAUGCAAGUCGAACGCUGAAGCUCAGCUUUUGUUGGGUGGAUGAGUGGCGAACGGGUGAGUAACACGUGAGUAACCUGCCCCCUUCUUUGGGAUAACGCCCGGAAACGGGUGCUAAUACUGGAUAUUCACUGGUCUUCGCAUGGGGGUUGGUGGAAAGGGUUUUUCUGGUGGGGGAUGGGCUCGCGGCCUAUCAGCUUGUUGGUGGGGUGAUGGCCUACCGAGGCUUUGACGGGUAGCCGGCCUGAGAGGGUGACCGGUCACAUUGGGACUGAGAUACGGCCCAGACUCCUACGGGAGGCAGCAGUGGGGAAUAUUGCACAAUGGGCGCAAGCCUGAUGCAGCGACGCCGCGUGAGGGAUGGAGGCCUUCGGGUUGUGAACCUCUUUCGCUCAUGGUCAAGCCGCAACAAUGGUUGUGGUGAGGGUAGUGGGUAAAGAAGCGCCGGCUAACUACGUG